UUAGAUACCCUAUUAUACCCUUUAGAUAAUAAUUUACUUGAGUAGUAAUCAGUUAUGUUCUUGAAACUUAAAGGAUUUGGCGGUAUCCAAGUCUAGUUAGAGGAACUUGCCCUGUUAACGAUAUACCCCGAAUUAUCUUACUUUUGUUUGUUUACAGUUUGUAUACCGCCAUUAGUAAAGUAAUAUUGAUAAGUAGAUACUAUAAUAGAUUCAAUCUAGUAUAUUAGGUCAAGGUGCAGCUAAUAUAAAAGUUGAGGUGAGUUACAAUAUAUCAUAUAUUUGGAUUAAUUAUUUUAAGAUUUUUUUGAAAUUGGAUUUAAUUGUAUAUUUGUUUUAAUAUGACAUUUUGAUAAGAGCUCUAGGAUAUGUACACACGCCCCCCCUCCUUUA
This 390-nucleotide ribosomal RNA is filed under the name Dactylonia ascidicola. Its description in RNAcentral is "partial 12S ribosomal RNA". Lineage: Eukaryota; Metazoa; Arthropoda; Malacostraca; Decapoda; Palaemonidae. The record is from RNAcentral.